CACUUCAAGCCUCCGGUUAGAACCCCCUGUCCUCCAGGCGGCCCUCUCCUGUCCCCAAGCCACCGCACUGUCCUUCUUGUUCCUGCCGGCUAGCUUCCUGCUUUUGUCUCCCAAGGAAGCCAAGCUGGCUCAGGAACCCCGGGGGAUCUGACAUCAGUGGCACCUUGAGAAACACUCCACAGCCCGGCCGGCCUUCCCUCACACCUGGACACCCACCCCUUCCCAUCCUGCUCCACCACAGCUUCAGAAUUCUGCAGAUGCCGAAUUCAAACCCCAAGGAUCAUCUUCCGGCGAGUGCUUCUGUAAAGACACCACCGUCCAGAGCUGGAGGGGACACCGGUGCAGCUGCCCCUAGAGCCCAGGACAACCUCCUUCCUCCUGUACCAGCAAGAGCCAGGAGCCCACGCCCGGCCCUCCACCAGCUGAGCCCGCCAGGCUCUUCAGGGCAACAGUGAGGGCGCUACAGCACUCCAAAUCUCGGCAACUAGACGGGAGGCUGGAUGGCUUCCAGGAGGUGAGAGUUUGCGUGCUGUGAGUCCCAAGUCAAAAUCCUCCCGACCGCCAGCCUCCCCAGGACCGGGUUUCCUCUCUCAUGCACACCAAGCAGCCGGCCACCCCCAGGAGACAGGCUUUGCGGCCAGCAGGCUGGGCUCAGACCCCAGAGCUGCCUAGGGGGUCUCUGAGCAUGUCUCCUACCCUGGCUUCGCUUUAUUCUACUGACUGAGGGUAUCAAUGGCAUCUUAGGCCAGGUGUUACGAGAUUAAAUAAAAUAACAGAGCGUCUGGCUCAGG
Long non-coding RNA from Lagenorhynchus albirostris (white-beaked dolphin), 791 nucleotides. RefSeq lists it as uncharacterized. The transcript has 3 exons. The record is from RefSeq and is a predicted model, not a curated record. NCBI's taxonomy places the organism in Eukaryota, Metazoa, Chordata, Mammalia, Artiodactyla, Delphinidae.